This 426-nucleotide ribosomal RNA is filed under the name uncultured bacterium. Its description in RNAcentral is "bacterial SSU rRNA". It matches the Rfam family "Bacterial small subunit ribosomal RNA", at positions 354 to 796 of the family's 1533-position model. The record is from RNAcentral.
GUGAGGAAUAUUGCGCAAUGGACGGAAGUCUGACGCAGCGACGCCGCGUGGGUGAAGAAGGUUUUCGGAUCGUAAAGCCCUUUUCCAGGUGACGAGUAAGGACGGUAGCCUGGGAAUAAGUGUCGGCUAACUACGUGCCAGCAGCCGCGGUAAAACGUAGGACGCAAGCGUUAUCCGGAAUUACUGGGCGUAAAGCGCGCGCAGGCGGGUCAGCAAGUCAUCUGUGAAAGCUCCUGGCUAAACUGGGAGAGGACGGAUGAAACUGCUGGUCUGGAGGGUGUUAGAGGAGUGUGGAAUUCCGCGUGUAGUGGUGAAAUGCGUAGAGAUGCGGAGGAACACCGGAGGCGAAGGCGGCACUCUGGGACACAACUGACGCUGAGGCGCGAAAGCAUGGGUAGCGAACGGGAUUAGAAACCCUAGUAGUCC